UUACGGCCCCGGUUCAUUCAUUCGGCCCGCAGCGCCCGGCCCCCGAGCCCCGGGGCGACCCCGCGAGGCCCCCGCCCCCCCCCCCCCCCGCCGCCGGCCCCGCGGGAGCCCGACGGGGUCCGCCCCAGGCUGGGCGCCAGGCUGCACCCGUGGGCGCCGCGCCCUCCUCCGCGGGGCGGUCGCGCGGGCGGCGCGGGUUCGAGGCCCGCCCGGGGCGGCGGCGUCUCCGGGGAGGCGGGCGCUCGGCGAGUCUUCCCCGAGGGCCGCGGGGCGCACCCACCCGGGGCCCGCAGUCCCCCCGCCUGUCGGCCGCACCCGCCGCGCCCCCCGCGGCCUCCCCGGGGCGCCCACGGGAGCCCCCAGCAAGCCCGCCCCUGGCCCGGGGGCCGCGCCCCGCUCUCCGCCCCGCGCCCCGCGCGCCCCGCGCGCCCCGCGCCCCCUCCCCGGCCGGUGACAUCCGCUCCCGCGGCCCCGCGGCGCUCCGGCAGGUCCCCGCCGCGCGCCCCCCGGCCCCGGGCCCCGCGCCCCGCGCCCCCCACCCCUGCGCCAGGCUGCGCCCCGCGCCCCGCGCCCCGCGCCCCGCGCCCCGCGCCCCGCGCCCCGACGCCCGACCGGGAGGCCGCCGUCCGGAGAGGCCGCCGUCCGGAGAACAAAGGCCGGGGCAGAGGCGCGGGGGGCAGCGGGCAGGGGCGCGGGGCCCGGCGGCGGGGCGCCCUCUUACCGGCUCGGGUGCUGUGCCCCCGGGGAGCGCGGUGCCGCGAGCGGCGCGGGUGCGGGCGUGGCCGGCGGGUGCCUGGCCGCGGGCGGAGGCUGAGUCCCGGCUCGACGGCCGAGCCCGCAGCGAGGAGCGAGUGGGAGCUGCCGCCGCCGCCGCCGCCGCCGCCGCUACUGCCGCCGCCGCCGCUCCUGCCGCCGCAGCCCCUGCGCCGCUCGCGCCCGCGCUCCCCCUCCCCUUCCUGCCCAGCGCCCUCCCCCGGCGCCCGCCCGCCGCCCGCCUCCCGCCUCCCGCCUCCCGCCGCCCGCGAACCCCGCCCCUCCGCGCCGCCCCGGGCCCCGCCCGCCUCCCCUGCGCCCGGCCCCGCCGCCCCGGCCCCCGGCCCCCGGCCCCCGGCCCCCGGCCCCCGGCUUGCGCGCGCCCCCCUCCGCGCCCCUCCCCCGCCGAGCCGAGCCCCGCGUCCGUGGGCAGCCCUCGCCCCCUCGCCCUCGCCCUCGCCCUCGCCCUCGCCCUCGCCCUCUCUCCGUCUCCCCUGGACUGGCCGCAGAGGCCCGCCCCGGGGUGCCCACGGCGCCCCCUGCACCUGCUGCCCGUCCCGCGCCCCGCACCCUCGCGCGCCGCGCCCGCCGGAGCCCCGGACACCUGGACACCCGGACACCUGGACGCCUGGACACCUGGACACCCGGACACCUGGACACCCGGACACCCGGAGGCCUGGACACCCGGACACCCGGACGCCUGGACACCCGGACACCUGGACACCCGGACACCCGGACACCUGGACGCCCGGACACCUGGACGCCUGGACACCCGGACACCUGGACACCCGGACACCCGGAGGCCUGGACACCCGGACACCCGGACGCCUGGACACCCGGACACCUGGACACCCGGACACCCGGACACCUGGACGCCCGGACACCUGGACGCCUGGACACCCGGACACCCGGACACCGGGACACCCGGACACCUGGACACCCGGAUACCUGGACACCGGGACAGCUGACAGCUGGACACCCAGACGCCUGGACGCCUGGACACCGGGACAGCUGGACACCCGGACACCGAGACACCCGGACACCUGGACGCCUGGACACCGGGACGCCUGGACAGCUGGACAGCUAGACACCUGGACGCCUGGACACCCGGACACCCGGAGGCCUGGACGCGCGGGAGGCCGAGACGACCCGGCACCGCGCGGCCGCAGGGGGCCGCCGACCCAGGGCGAGUCCGCGAGCGCGGCCGGGGCGAGGGCGGCGGCCCAGGUCCGCCCGCGUGGGGAGGGCGCCGCGCCGCGCCCCGCGAGGAUGCUGUGGGCGGAGGGCAGGCGGCGGCCGAGCAGAGGCAGCGGCGGGUCCUGCGCGGUGGCGAGCGGCGGGGUCGGGGGGUCGGGGGGUCCGGGGGGCGGGGGGCGGGGACGGGGACGGGGACGGGGACGGGGACGUCCACCCACCUGGCUCACCUGCCGGCGGGGAGCGGAUGCGGGAGACGGCGCGGCGACGCUCACCCCGGCUGCUCGUCCUCAGACAAAAGCCCGCGUCACCUGCCCGCGGCCGCCGGGACCUCGGGGCCCCUCUUUGCGGCCCGCUGGCGCCCUCUGGCUGCGCCCGGUCGGCCUGGGCGUACCCGCGGCCCCGGGAAGCCCUCCUCACCUGGCGGGGCGCCCUCCUCACCUGGGCGGGGCGGCGCGUCCUCCGCCCUCGCAGGCCCGGGACGCGGACGAAGGCCUCCGUCCUCCGUCCUUAGGGGAGGAUGCCACAGGCAGGUGCGUCCGCAGGCAACUGGGGGAGACACUUUUUAACGGGAAAGGUGAUGGCCUUCUUACCGACCAGUUGCCUUGACAUCUGCUGACCCGGCUGGAAUCGGACAAGGACAAGCAGCGUCCCAGUGGCCGUGCAGACAAGCUGGAUCUUUAGACACGAACGGUUUCAAGUCCUAAGUGCCUCUGCUUCCGGCUUUGUGAGUUUGACCACAGAUCUUCAUCUCACUUAGUCUCAGUCUUUUCAUCUGGAAAAUGGAAAUGUUUACAACUUCACUGGGUGGUUUGGAGGAUUAUACAAGAAAAUGUAUCUAAAUCCCUCAGCCAGUUCAUAAGACACACUCAGAAAAAUGUGUCCUGAAGAAGCUGAUGUUAGGGGCGCCCGGGG
Molecule: long non-coding RNA, 2862 nt
Filed under: Canis lupus familiaris (dog)
Lineage: Eukaryota; Metazoa; Chordata; Mammalia; Carnivora; Canidae
Description: lncRNA (ENSCAFG00845003330.1)
Source: RNAcentral